CCGGUUAUGUGAACAUAACAUUUUUUGGAUUUGUAUUACACAAUAAAAAAAGAAUAGAACAUUUUCCAUCUUUAGAUCACAGUUCAAGUUUAAUAUCUUUGGGGAAAAUGAUUAAACAUUUAAACAAACUUUUAUUGCAUUUCAAAAAAGUUUUUGUCAUACAUCCCUGUCUUCUGAUAUUGGUUUGAAAUAUUGGUUUCUCUUAAUGUGAAAUUAAAUGCUAUAAGUUACGUUUUUCAAUUAUUUUUGUUAAAAUAAAUUUAUUUGACGUCAUGCUCCAUUUUUUCGAUAAUUUAAAGAGAAUGGUAUAUAUCACAAUGUUUUUCACUAACCCAAUUCUCUUUCUCUUCUUCAUAAACGAUUUAGAUUGCCUCGAAAAUUUUAAAGCUAAAAAGCUUUUUAAAAGGGAAUAUUCUGAUUGGUUAACUUUUACUCGUCAAGAAUUUAUUGAUAUUGAAAGUGGAUUCUUUUCUGGAACAAAAUUAGAAGAUUUAGUUCCAAAUCAUUCAGGGAAUAACUCAAAAUGGAAAUUUAUGAACAAAAAUAUAAACGAUUAUUUAUCCAGUUUGUGGGAAGCAUGCGCCGAGAAGUAUUUUCAUUUGAAAAGUUCUGAUCAUUUUGGAAGAACAAGAAGAACAUCCUACUGUCUCUGGGAUGCUAUGCUCAAAACUUUCAACUUAUAUUCAGUGUUUAGUGAUAAGAAAGUGCUAACAAACCAACCUUGGUGGCCUUUAGACUUAGAGUUGAUGUCAUUAAUUUGGAUUUAUAUGAGUUGUACACAACAUACAAGAGAUAUUUUCUGCCCUAAGCCAUGCAAGAACAAACCUUGCAAAAGAAAGAUUCAUAAAGAUAGGGUUGACUGGUACAAUCAAUUCAGUUGUAUUACUUCAGGAGAAUCUUUAUUUAAGGAUGAUUAUAAAUGCAUAUGCAAAGAAAAUUUUAUCUGGAAUAAGGAAAAGAAGUUAUGUGUUGAGCAAGACUUUUGUCAAGGAUCGUAUUGUGUAUUAGAGAACGUUGUAAAUUGUACACUAGAUACAUCACAGAACUUUAUGAAAAUAAAAUGUCACUGCAAAGCUGAAUUUUAUGGCGAUAGAUGCGAAAUUCAAUACAACGCUUGUAGUAUAGAAUCACAUCCGAUUCUAACUGAGCUAAGGAAAUUAAAAGCUAACGUUCCAAAGACUGGAGAUGAGUUGUGUAGAUUUGGUAUUAUCAAUCAAAACUUUAUUGCACAACAGCCUAAAUGUGUUCCCCUGGAAAAGAAUUUUAUUUGCCAAUGUCCUCAGGGUUAUAGGGAUAACCAUACUGAAAUUUAUCCAAACUGCAAUAUAAGGGAUCUGAAGUGCAGAUUAUGUUCAGAGGCGGAAGAAUGUGAUUUGAAAAAGACAAAUAGCUGCAGAUGUCAUGGUCGUAUCAAAGAUUGCAAUAAAUAUGUUGACAAAUGGGGUCCAUGGAAAGAGUGGUCGGAUUGCCCUGAUUCCUGUAAUCAAAAUAUUCGCUUUAUUAGACGACGAUCAAGAAAAUGUGAAACUCAUGAUAGAAAGCAAGCGGCCAUUAGUGCUUGUUCUCUUCAAGGCGGCGGAGUGGCGAUUCAAGAAGAAAGUUGUCAUGGUGAACCCUGUAUUGAGGUACCAAAAUGGGGGCCUUGGUCAAAUUGGGGGAAGUGUACAAGAACAUGUGGGGGCGGUUAUCGAACAAAAGGAAGAAAUUGUAUUUUCAGUGAUAUUCAGAAUAUUACUAAUUUUUGUCAUGGCUCCCAUAUCGUUAUAGAAGUCUGUAGCUUAAUAGAUUGUAAGCGUUCUAUUAGACCCUCUGACAUCGGUUUAAAAAUUCGUAAAAGCGCGCUGGAGUGGGGAUUAUGGCUUCCUUGGUCAAAGUGUGGAUGGACUGGUAACUGUGGUAAGGAUCUGGCUAUCAGACUUCGAUCUUGUAACGACGGUUCAGGGGCUUGCUUUGGCUCGGCAUUUGAUGUUAUCAAUUGUUAUAAGAAGUGUUCAAGAUCAUAUGAAGGAUUUCACGCUUGGCAACCUUGGACUUCCUGCAAUAAAGAUCAAACUACGUGCUCAAGAGUGCGUAAUUGCACUGCUGUUGGUCAUAAACAAUGUAGAGGCUUUUCCAAACAAGUUGCUCAAUGUCAAAAUAAAAUUUGCGUAGGAGGUAGUCCAAGAUACCUCUCCAGAACAAUGCUUGGAUUAUCUGGAAUGAAAAUGUUUGAUAAAGAGAUAAACUUCGAUCAAACGCAAUUUCUAUUGGACGAUGUAAAAUAUCAUAGACCAAAGUAAGGUCGAUAUACUAUAGAUAUUCCAAUGACCUUUAUUUGGUCUAUGAAGAUGUUUAAAUGGAAACAUUAUCGAAGAAAAAUAUUCAUAGGAGAUAAAGAUUACUUUGAAAGUCUAAGUAGUAAACUUAAAUCGAAACGAAUGUUGAAAAAUUUUAUUUUGUUUGCACCACCUAUAUUCGAAGCUAUAAUGUUACUCAUAUUUUGUUACUAUUUCUAUAAGCAUAGAUUAACAGUACAGUGUGCAAGACGCAAUAUUUCAUCUCUCGCUCAUUCCAAAAGUACAUGGAUAUGGACAGCCAAAGAUGAAAUGGAGAGGCUAAAGCAUGAAUUUACUAAAACACUUUUACAACAAGAAACUGAAGGUAUUUAAAACAGAAUUAAGUGAACAUAAAUUGCUAUUAUUUUAACUUGGGUUUCUUAUAAACUGUUAUAUCGUUACUAGUUGAAAAGUCUAAUUUCAAAGUCUUUAAAUUUGAUUUUUCUUGGCUCUAGAAGUUUUAACAAGAUGACGAACUUUAAAAAGUCAUCGCAUAGAUUACAACUCCUCUUCAAGACAUGUGAGGCUUUCCACUGACUCAAAAUCAAGGAAUGAAUUCAAGCUCUUUUUCUUCAAUUUAAGUUUCAUGAAAGAUGGCAGCUUUUGACAAAUUAUGAGCUGCCCAUCAACAUCUAGCUAACAGCCAUACAUCGAGCCACAACCUUAGGUUGAGCUCCUUGGAGUCAUUGCUCCUCCUCUGGUCAUUGAUCUCUAUAACAGAACUCCAUCUACCGUCAUCUUCAAGUAUUGAAAGGUGUAACCAUAACUUUAAUCCUCACUUUGUUUUCUCAAAAAAGCUUCAGUCAUUUAGUUAAGAUGUUAAUAUAUAUUGCUAAUGAUGGUUUAGCUAUAAUAUCCCCUUUAGCAAAGAUCUAAUUAUCAAUCUAUAAAUUUUAUUGAGAUUAAUUUGAAUAAAUGUUUAACCUCUUAUUUUAUCAAUGAUCAUUAGUCCUGUUUAAAUUCCUCAUGGCAACCAGUAAUUCGGCAAUCGAAUGCCAACCAUGUAGCGAAAUUGAAAAUUUCUACUAAACCGAAUAUCUUUUAACACUGUUUUUUCAUACUUUUUCACUUUUCUUUCCCCACUCAAGAUGUCAGUAGGGUCUUUGUAAACAAACUUCAGUUGGGCUGGUAAUGAUUUAAAGGUUGUGUAUUUUUUCUUACUGGAAAUACAAAAAUGCUACCAUGAGUUCUUGGGGCACAUGUGCAAUUUUCAAAUUC
This 3533-nucleotide unclassified non-coding RNA is filed under the name Dimorphilus gyrociliatus. RNAcentral describes it as "eGF-like domain-containing protein". Lineage: Eukaryota; Metazoa; Annelida; Polychaeta; Dinophilidae. The record is from RNAcentral.